AUGUCAGGGUCUAAAGCAAACCUGGCUUUCAUCCACGUUUGGGGAAGACCAUCCAUUCCCUUGUUGUCAUGUUUUCUAGUGCAGGAACCUCUUGCCUCUAAUCCUGAUCCUUACUCUCUUCAGAGGGAUGGACCGAGUUACUGGAUCGAAAAGAGGCUGACAUAUGCUGGUUCACAUUUGGAGGAACCAAUCUUUCAAAAGCCCGUUACUCUCCUUCCCUCUACCUGGGACAGGUGCCAGGCUGCCAUCCUGGGUGCACACCAUGCCCUCCAGAAGAUCAGAGAGUGUCCUUGCGUACAGUGCUCUCGGAAAGGUGAGCAUUUUUAUUUUUUGGAAGUGCUUCAUCUCAUGGUCCAGAGAACUAAAUUGGGUCAUAAGCUCAUGGGACAGUGCUAUGGACUGAGUAGUUCAGGCAAUCAUAAUGACAAAGGAUUUGUGAUUGUCCUGGUUGGCUUAGACCAAAAAGAACUCGCUCUUGGAGCACUCCUAUCACACGUGCUACACCGUGGGGUGUGGGUAAGGGGUGGACGUUGCGGACAUUACCACACAGUCCACCCCAUUCUCCCUAGCACUGCCGCCAUCUUUGGCAAGGAGUUACUCAGCGUUCCGUCUCGUGGGUGGAAAGCACAUCACUGCUGGGACAGCCCACGCUGUGGUAGGUCAGCUGCAACACGGUCCCUUCUCGUGCGGAGUAUGGCUGCCUCAACCUUCUCGCAUCUCUACCUUCUGGACCGUCAGAGAACAAAGCCAGCUCCCCAUUUUCACUGGCCCUUCUUUCUUCUGAGCAGAGGAGCCGGGGAGACACUGAUUUUUCAGGGACUAGGAGGAAAACGAGUUAACUGUCCUUCCUUCCACGCUUUUAUCAGGGUUCUGCCUGAAGAAGGCAACUCUCGGGGCUGUGUCUUACACCAGCACCCGUGGCAAAGGAGGCAUAGUAAUGAGACCCUAAAGGAGGAGGGGGGAGAUCUUGAAGAUGCUUGCCUUGGGGUGAUCCUGUGGGUUCCUCAAGCAGUAGCCCUGCUUCUGGCAUGCCUUGUCCAUGUCUAUGGAUGGGAUGCAGUUCCUCUCCCAGGGCCAGUUUGGGGAGCACGGAAUGUGGUUCAUGCAGAGACUACAAUUACUCCUGAUGGUCACGUUUCACCUGGUCUUGUGGGUGCCACACAGACAGGUCUUUGUAAUAUUCUCGCCACUACGAUUUCAGCAAUAGAAUAA
RNAcentral lists this long non-coding RNA (1212 nucleotides) under Felis catus (domestic cat). RNAcentral's name for it is "lncRNA (ENSFCAG00000047346.1)". The record is from RNAcentral. Lineage: Eukaryota; Metazoa; Chordata; Mammalia; Carnivora; Felidae.